Non-coding RNA from Anas platyrhynchos (mallard), 2087 nucleotides. The record is from RefSeq and is a predicted model, not a curated record. NCBI's taxonomy places the organism in Eukaryota, Metazoa, Chordata, Aves, Anseriformes, Anatidae.
UAGCCCUAUUUGGGGGGAACCAAGCCCUGGCAGCACCCACAGCUGAAGCCUGCAUGCCUCAGGGUUGGGGUGGCCUUGCUGGGGAUGUUUCAGAAGAGCCAGGGACACCCCAUUCACAUCUCUGUCACUUCUCAGCUGUCUCCUACUGGGACAAACACUUCCCCAGCUGCAUUCAUCACCACAUCCUCUCACCCGCCCUGGCCUGCAGGAUUGAUUUAAUUAUCCUUGUUCCUCCCCCAUUGCUACACAGGUAAUGGCAAUCUCCUGUGUGAUGACCCCACAAAGACAGUUUGGGGAAAAAAAAAAAAAAAAAAAAAACAAAAAACACGCAGAAAGCACCAUUGCUUCUCCUUCUCAUGGGCUUGUUUAUAAAAAGAGAGUGCUUGGUGCUGUUUGCCCUGACAACAUUACUCUCCAGAGUUAACAGCUAGUUCGUGGGUACCAGCAGACUGACCUCUCUGUGCUUUUGCUGGAUCCUCUCUGCAAAAUCCAGUGCACGCCGCAGCACUGAAUUUAGAGCUGGGGAAAGCUUUCCAAUGUGGGAAACCAGCAGUUUGGGAAGAAACACGAUCCGUGUUUUCCGUUGGCCGUUGUGCAACAUGGAGGGCGCAGGCUGGGGCAAGCCGUGAGUGCCGCGGGUGCUGGGGGCAGGCACGUGCGCCCGCACCCCCAGCUGGAGCACCCCUGGCACCUGGCUGCGGGCUGGGAGGGUUCCAGCUUUCCUGGAAACCAUUGCACAUCACACGGAACAAACAAACAAACAACGACACAGCACAGACCACUUCCAUUUUCAAAAGUCAUAAAGAAAUAUCCUGUUUACACAGAUAUUUGUGGAAAAACACUGGGAAGAAAACAAAGAGCAGAGCUAAUUAACUUGCAUGUGGGGUGGUAACUUGGCAGCCACAAGGCCAAGAGAGACCUGCUUGCUUUGGGGGACAGAUUACAGCCAAGCUAAAUGUAAAGGACACCCCCAGGUGUCCUUUUCUGACUGUCACCACCCUGCGAUCCCCCAAAUACUUACCCAGCCCAGGUGGAAACCCUAGCAGAGCAUUACCUUAGGGAUAUUAGCUUGGGAUGAGGGAUGCUCGGUGUCUCACACUGCCCGGUACCAUGAGUGCUCCCAGGGACGGGCAGGGUGGGCGCAGGGUGCAUACAUUGAGUCCUCUUCCCAGCAGGGAGGAACACCGUGCCGACACACGUCUUGUCUGCCUUGCCAGCAUGCUCACCAAGGCUGACUGCUUUCCGCUGCUGGUUUAGUCUCACUUCACUUGUUUGGCUCAGGGUCCUCCUGAAAUCAGCUGCUGGCCUUUCCUAGAAUUACACACACACACAAAAAAAAAAAAAAAAAAAAAAAAAAAAAAAAAAAAAACCCAUGUUGAGGAGCAGCAUGGAGAAUCCUUGAAAGCCCCCAGGAAGCAUGUGGAGCUGGUUCCAGCAGCAUCUCCCAUGGCUUUGGCUCCUCUCUGUGCUCUCCCAUCCAAGCAGAGCUUUGCCCUGCUGGAAAUCAGGAUGUUGCAUUGUGAUGUACAAGCCAGAGAUGCAGAAGAGAAAAUAAAUAAAUAAAUAAAUAAAAUAAAGAGCCAAAUCUGGCUUUGGGAGGGGCAUAUAUGCCCUUCAAAAGCUGGGGCAGACCCGCCCAGGCACAGACGAAAAUACUUGUCAGAACUGCUCUUGGCAUGAGGUGCUCAGGGAGGAAAUGUCCAUAGGAAAUUUAGGGAUUGGAUGUCUAGAGGGGAGAAACUUAACACUCCCCUAAUGGCUAGCUCAUUCUUUCUCCUGUCUUCCUCCUAUUUGUUUUUGCAAGUAUUAAUACGCUGGGACUGUUUUCUUUAGUGCACGUGGGGUCCAGAGGGUUUCACUGGGGGUCUGGGAUCUGGGUGACCUCCCCAGAGUGGUCUACGGAGGCUGGCCCACGGUCACCAUGGAUCCCCAGGGCUCUGUGACGAAUGGUGGUGAUGGGUGCUGUGGGGCCAGUGAUGCUGCCCAGCUGGCACCCUCAGCCCUGCCACAGUUGCCAUGCCAUGCAGACCCCUGGGAGCCUUGUGGCCACCUUGACAUGGCCAGAUGCUCUGCAAGCAGCAUCACAU